CGCACAUUGCGCCCUUUGGCAUUCCGAAGGGCAUGCCUGUUCGAGCGUCAUUAUCCUCUCUCAAACCUCGGGUUUGGUGUUGGACCGCGUUGGACCGCUUGCGGCCAACUGGUCUCAAAGACAAUGACGGCGUCCCAGGGACCCUCUUCGCACUGAGCUUUCCGGAGCACGCGUUGAGUUAACGGGCCCAGGGACCCGGUCACCUCUAAAACUUCUUAAGGUUGACCUCGGAUCAGGUAGGAAUACCCGCUGAACUUAA
RNAcentral lists this unclassified non-coding RNA (259 nucleotides) under Chaetothyriales sp. RNAcentral's name for it is "partial contains 5.8S ribosomal RNA, internal transcribed spacer 2, and large subunit ribosomal RNA". Lineage: Eukaryota; Fungi; Ascomycota; Eurotiomycetes; Chaetothyriales. The record is from RNAcentral.